GCACAAGCUAUCACCCACGCACAGCUACCCCGUCCCCAGCCUGCAGCUUCCUCUGACACACAUUUUCCAUUGCUGGGCGGGGCAGAGCAGGUUACAGGUCCGCAGCCCCAACUUCAGUGGCACAGCAUCAACAGGGCACCAGCCUACGUGAGGUGUCGCCUGGUGUCCCGGAGCGGGUGCAGGGCAGCUGUCAGAAUGGCAGCUCUGCUGUGUGUGAGCUAUGUGACUCUGGGCAAGCCCCUGGGCCUCGCUGAGACUUCCCUCCCCAUCUGUCUUCUGAGUCCGACAUCCCAGAGCCUGUGCUAAGAGAAGGCCAGGCCAAGUAAGGCUGCGAGGGACUUCUGUGUCAUGACCACGAGAGCCAGGGGUGAACUCUUGGCUCGAGGCCACUGCUCCUUCAUUCCCUCCCACCAGCUUCUGUGGUGGGUUCUUUUG
Bos taurus (domestic cattle) is the source of this 435-nucleotide long non-coding RNA. The record is from Ensembl. Lineage: Eukaryota; Metazoa; Chordata; Mammalia; Artiodactyla; Bovidae.